UACGCAGGGUGCAAGCGUUAAUCGGAAUUACUGGGCGUAAAGCGUGCGCAGGCGGUUAUGCAAGACCGAUGUGAAAUCCCCGGGCUCAACCUGGGAAUUGCAUUUGUGACUGCACGGCUAGAGUGUGUCAGAGGGGGGUAGAAUUCCACGUGUAGCAGUGAAAUGCGUAGAGAUGUGGAGGAAUACCGAUGGCGAAGGCAGCCCCCUGGGAUAACACUGACGCUCAUGCACGAAAGCGUGGGGAGCAAACAGG
Molecule: ribosomal RNA, 253 nt
Filed under: uncultured bacterium
Lineage: Bacteria
Description: partial 16S ribosomal RNA
Rfam family: Bacterial small subunit ribosomal RNA
Source: RNAcentral